CGUCAAAUGAAUCUUUGCUUAGUCCCUAGUCCCAAAGGGGUCUACUUUCUUCUUUGCAAAAAGAGAGAACUAAACACUUUAAAAGAGCAAACAGGAUGAAAGAUCCAAGAAAUGCCAAUCCAGUAGUCAACAGAAAAGAGGG
Non-coding RNA from Parasteatoda tepidariorum (common house spider), 142 nucleotides. The record is from RefSeq and is a predicted model, not a curated record. NCBI's taxonomy places the organism in Eukaryota, Metazoa, Arthropoda, Arachnida, Araneae, Theridiidae.